RNAcentral lists this transfer RNA (74 nucleotides) under Propionibacteriaceae bacterium. Its description in RNAcentral is "tRNA-Phe". It matches the Rfam family "tRNA". Rfam says of the family: Transfer RNA (tRNA) molecules are approximately 80 nucleotides in length. Their secondary structure includes four short double-helical elements and three loops (D, anti-codon, and T loops). Lineage: Bacteria; Bacillati; Actinomycetota; Actinomycetes; Propionibacteriales; Propionibacteriaceae. The record is from RNAcentral.
GGUCGGAUAGCUCAGCCGGUAGUAGCGCUUCCCUGAAAAGGAAGAGGUCGGCGGUUCGAUCCCGCCUCCGACCA